UAGAAUGAAUAAAGAGAGCUGAAACAGGGGGCUUCCCUUCAACAUCCCCCUCAAGUUGGAGGGGAGGGACGACACUCCCAACUUGCACAAAAUAUUUCAAUGAGAAGCCCCUGAGAGAGGUUCAGUGAAUAGAUCGGCAAGUUGAAUGUGUGAAGGGACAAAAGACAAGGAGAUCAGCCCGCAGAGAUACUACUAGCGCAAAAAGCGGCAAUCAAGCUCCACAUGCUUGGUUCGCUCAUGGAAAAUAAGGUUUCGAGCAAUAUGAAGUGCGGCUUGGUUGUCGUAAUGAAUGGGAACCGAUAGAAAUGGUGAGCUUGACAGGUCCUCCAAGAGACAAACAAGCUAAGUUAGUUCAGUCGUGACCUUACACAUAGAUCUGUACUCCGCUUUGGUGGAGGAAAGGGAUAUUAAAGGCUACUUCUUAGGCUUCCAAGAAAUAAGAGAACCCCCAAGUGUGAUGAAAAAAACACUCACAGAUCUGUGUGUGUCGGAGCAUGCUUCCCAAUCCGCAUAGCAAAAUGCCAGUAAGGAUAGAGAAGGAUCAACAUUGAGAAGAAUCCCUUGCCCUGGAUCCAAAUGGAGGUACCUCAAUACUCGGAGAGCUGCCGAAUAGUGAGAAAGACAGAGUCUUUACCGAAAUUAACUGAGUUUGAGGAUCGAAAAUGCCAAGUCUGGACGUGUAUGAGUCAGGUGAUAUAUUUUUGCACCAUUUGAUUUCUCAAAUCUAUGUUUUAAGCUCUCCCAAAGCUCCUUUGCAGUUUUGGAGUAGAUGACACUGUCACCAAUUUCUUUUGAAAGGGAGUUCAACAACCAAGAUAUGACCAUGUCGUUGCAACAACAUCUUUUCUCAAACUCAGGAGCAGUCAGAUCUGGAGGUUUGCAAGCUCCAUUGAUGAAGCCAAGCUGCUUCUUCGCAGACAAAGCUAUCAAAACUGAUCUCCUUCAUCCUGGAAAACCCUUUCCAUCGAAGAUGGAAUUUACCAAGUUAAUUCCAUGAGAACCAGAAGCAUUGAGGUGGUAGGGAUGAUUAGUAUUGACAUUGUUGGUGUUCACAGAACUUUCUGUGAUGCGAAUUUCAGUGGUAUUGGAUUGUUCACCCAUAGUUUUGUUACUUGAAUUAUAGAUCUAGAAAGAUGAUUGAAUUUGGAUCGAGCUACUGCUCUGAUACUAUGUAAGAAUUGAUGAACAAUAUUGGAAAUUUUUUGAAUAUGUCAAAAGAGAGAAAACUACAAUUGAUUUAUCCCAAGGACUGAUGCACCUAUUUAUAAUACAUACAAGUAUGGGUGUCUUGAA
This is a long non-coding RNA of Solanum dulcamara, 1293 nucleotides long. RefSeq lists it as uncharacterized. NCBI's taxonomy places the organism in Eukaryota, Viridiplantae, Streptophyta, Magnoliopsida, Solanales, Solanaceae. The transcript is spliced from 2 exons. The record is from RefSeq and is a predicted model, not a curated record.